CCUACGGGAGGCAGCAGUGGGGAAUAUUGCACAAUGGGGGAAACCCUGAUGCAGCGACGCCGCGUGAGUGAAGAAGUAAUUCGUUAUGUAAAGCUCUAUCAGCAGGGAAGAAAAUGACGGUACCUGAGUAAGAAGCCCCGGCUAACUACGUGCCAGCAGCCGCGGUAAUACGUAGGGGGCAAGCGUUAUCCGGAUUUACUGGGGGGAAAGGGAGCGUAGACGGCAGUGCAAGUCUGGAGUGAAAGGCGGGGGCUCAACCCCAGGACUGCUCUGGAAACUGUACGGCUGGAGUGCAGGAGAGGUAAGUGGAAUUCCUAGUGUAGCGGUGAAAUGCGUAGAUAUUAGGAGGAACACCAGUGGCGAAGGCGGCUUACUGGACUGUAACUGACGUUGAGGCUCGCAAGCGUGGGGAGCAAACAGGAUUAGAUACCCCUGUAGUC
Molecule: ribosomal RNA, 440 nt
Filed under: uncultured bacterium
Lineage: Bacteria
Description: partial 16S ribosomal RNA
Rfam family: Bacterial small subunit ribosomal RNA
Source: RNAcentral